Molecule: long non-coding RNA, 246 nt
Filed under: Physcomitrium patens
Lineage: Eukaryota; Viridiplantae; Streptophyta; Bryopsida; Funariales; Funariaceae
Description: long non-coding RNA (PPAT_LNC010259)
Source: RNAcentral
UUGAUUAACUUCUACAACUCCUAUAUACUUUUCUCUGAUUCUCCAGAUUCUAAUCGUAAUUCUGUAAUUAACCAUUUUUAAUAACUAAAUCACUCAUCCAACCUCCUGAAUUUCCUAUUAUAUGGACUAUUAAUAUAUUUUACCAAUAUCUUUCAAAAACAAAUUAAUAUCUAUUCUACAUAGCCCCACUUCUAUCUGUACAACGUCCUCGCAAACACUCAAUUGAUACCUAUCUAAAAAUUAUCU